This 484-nucleotide ribosomal RNA is filed under the name uncultured bacterium. RNAcentral describes it as "partial 16S ribosomal RNA". It matches the Rfam family "Bacterial small subunit ribosomal RNA", at positions 30 to 507 of the family's 1533-position model. The record is from RNAcentral.
AUUGAACGCUGGCGGCAGGCCUAACACAUGCAAGUCGAGCGGAUGAAGGGAGAUUGCUCCUGGAUUCAGCGGCGGACGGGUGAGUAAUGCCUAGGAAUCUGCCUGGUAGUGGGGGAUAACGUCCGGACACGGGCGCUAAUAUCGCAUACGUCCUGAGGGAGAAAGUGGGGGAUCUUCGGACCUCACGCUAUCAGAUGAGCCUAGGUCGGAUUAGCUAGUUGGUGGGGUAAAGGCCUACCAAGGCGACGAUCCGUAACUGGUCUGAGAGGAUGAUCAGUCACACUGGAACUGAGACACGGUCCAGACUCCUACGGGAGGCAGCAGUGGGGAAUAUUGGACAAUGGGCGAAAGCCUGAUCCAGCCAUGCCGCGUGUGUGAAGAAGGUCUUCGGAUUGUAAAGCACUUUAAGUUGGGAGGAAGGGCAGUAAGUUAAUACCUUGCUGUUUUGACGUUACCAACAGAAUAAGCACCGGCUAACUUCGUG